AUCCUGACCUCCUUACUGUAUCGACCACAGCUAUCCUGAAUUUUGCAGAUCUGAGCCAAAAUCCCAGCUUUGAAUAUCUUCUACCUCCUGUGAAUCACCAAGCUCUCUAGUUCUUCAAACUAUUUCCUUCCCGGAUCUUCAAACAGAUGAUCUUCUGGAAGUUUAUAUGGAGAUAUGAAAGGGUGUUUUGAUUUUGUGAGGGUUGAUGUUUUUAUUCAAAGAACCAUGAGAAUCAAAGAUGAAAAAGAUGAAUUUAUUGUUAGUUCUUGAUCCUUUGGAAGUUGAGAGGAAUUGUUGUUUUAAUGUUUGCCAAAGGUCUAAUUAGAAAAUCGGAUGUUUUGUUUAUAUAGUAGAUCGAAUUUGGUAAUAUAGGGCGUUAAAAAUUCACGAGGCAUUAAAAUCACCAAAGGCCAGAUAACAUGGUCGCUCGAGCGAGGUCCUGACGAAACUCGAGCGACGUACCUUCACUCAAGCGAUAAACCAGCGAAACUCCAGCGAGGUCAGUUCUGCAAUUUUGGCUCUAGCAAGGUCAGGGCGAAACUCUAGCGACA
RNAcentral lists this long non-coding RNA (551 nucleotides) under Olea europaea subsp. europaea. Lineage: Eukaryota; Viridiplantae; Streptophyta; Magnoliopsida; Lamiales; Oleaceae. The record is from RNAcentral.